This 242-nucleotide ribosomal RNA is filed under the name uncultured bacterium. RNAcentral's name for it is "partial 16S ribosomal RNA". It matches the Rfam family "Bacterial small subunit ribosomal RNA", at positions 15 to 244 of the family's 1533-position model. The record is from RNAcentral.
GAUCAUGGCUCAGGAUGAACGCUAGCGACAGGCCUAACACAUGCAAGUCGGAGGGGCAGCGGAGAGGUAGCAAUACCUUUGCCGGCGACCGGCGCACGGGUGAGUAACACGUAUGCAAUCCACCUGUAACGAGGGGGAUAACCCGGAGAAAUCCGGACUAAUACCCCAUAAUAUGGGUUCUCCGCAUGGAGGGUCCAUUAAAGAGAGCAAUUUUGGUUACAGACGAGCAUGCGCUCCAUUAG